GUCCUAUAGAUUAUUAAUUUUAGGUCUAUCCUGCUCAGUGAUUUAUUUUAAAUAGCCGCAGUAUUUUGACUGUGCAAAGGUAGCAUAAUCAUUUGUCUUUUAAUUGAAGGCUUGUAUGAAUGGUUGGACGAGAUAUUAACUUUCUUUAUUUAAUUUUUAUGAAUUUAAUUUUUUAGUGAAAAAGCUUAAAUUAUUUUGUGGGACGAGAAGACCCUAUAGAAUUUAAGAUUAAUUUAUUAUAUUUAAUUAAUUAUUUGAUUAUUUUAUAUUAUUCUUAAUUUUUGGUUGGGGUGAUUAUAAAAUUUUCUUAACUUUUAUAUUUUAUUUUCAUCGAUUAAUGUUUUUAUUGAUCCUUUAUUAAGGAUUAUUAGAUUAAAUUACCUUAGGGAUAACAGCGUAAUUCUUUUGGAGAGUUCUUAUCGAUGAAAUGAGUUUGCGACCUCGAUGUUGGAUUAAAAUUUUAGUUGGGUGGAGGUGCUUAAUUUAUAGGUCUGUUCGACCUUUAAUUUUUUACA
This 515-nucleotide ribosomal RNA is filed under the name Kleidocerys sp. WCW-2003. RNAcentral describes it as "partial 16S ribosomal RNA". The stretch from base 388 to 515 matches the Rfam family "Bacterial large subunit ribosomal RNA", at positions 2473 to 2600 of the family's 2925-position model. Lineage: Eukaryota; Metazoa; Arthropoda; Insecta; Hemiptera; Lygaeidae. The record is from RNAcentral.